RNAcentral lists this ribosomal RNA (481 nucleotides) under uncultured bacterium. Its description in RNAcentral is "bacterial SSU rRNA". It matches the Rfam family "Bacterial small subunit ribosomal RNA", at positions 28 to 523 of the family's 1533-position model. The record is from RNAcentral.
GACGAACGCUGGCGGCGUGCUUAACACAUGCAAGUCGAACGGUAAGGCCCUUCGGGGUACACGAGUGGCGAACGGGUGAGUAACACGUGGGUGAUCUGCCCUGCACUUCGGGAUAAGCCUGGGAAACUGGGUCUAAUACCGGAUAGGACUCCUGGCUUCAUGGUUGGGGGUGUAAAGCUUUUGCGGUGUGGGAUGGGGCCCGCGGCCUAUCAGCUUGUUGGUGGGGUAAUGGCCUACCAAGGCGACGACGGGUAGCCGGCCUGAGAGGGUGACCGGCCACACUGGGACUGAGAUACGGCCCAGACUCCUACGGGAGGCAGCAGUGGGAAUAUUGCACAAUGGGCGCAAGCCUGAUGCAGCGACGCCGCGUGAGGGAUGAACGGCCUUCGGGUUGUAAACCGUCUUUCAAUAGGACGAAGCGCAAGGUGACGGUACCGUAUAGAAGAAGGACCGGCCAACUACGUGCCAGCAGCCGCGGUAA